RNAcentral lists this ribosomal RNA (301 nucleotides) under uncultured bacterium. RNAcentral's name for it is "partial 16S ribosomal RNA". It matches the Rfam family "Bacterial small subunit ribosomal RNA", at positions 509 to 807 of the family's 1533-position model. The record is from RNAcentral.
CAGCCGCCGCGGGAAAACGUAGGUGGCAAGCGUUGUCCGGAAUUAUUGGGUGUAAAGGGCUCGCAGGCGGUUUCUUAAGUCUGAUGUGAAAGCCCCCGGCUCAACCGGGGAGGGUCAUUGGAAACUGGGAAACUUGAGUGCAGAAGAGGAGAGUGGAAUUCCACGUGUAGCGGUGAAAUGCGUAGAGAUGUGGAGGAACACUAGUGGCGAAGGCGACUCUCUGGUCUGUAACUGGCGCUGAGGAGCGAAAGCGUGGGGAGCGAACAGGAUUAGAUACCCCCGUAGUCCCUGUCUCUUAUAC